This 253-nucleotide ribosomal RNA is filed under the name uncultured bacterium. RNAcentral describes it as "partial 16S ribosomal RNA". It matches the Rfam family "Bacterial small subunit ribosomal RNA", at positions 524 to 776 of the family's 1533-position model. The record is from RNAcentral.
GAAGGAGGUGGCAAGCGUUAACCGGAAUUAUUGGGCGUAAAGGGUACGUAGGCGGCUGGUCAAGUCUGGGGUCAAAGGCCACAGCUCAACUGUGGGAAGGCCCUGGAAACUGACCGGCUAGAGUGAGGUAGGGGUUGCGGGAAUUCCCGGUGUAGCGGUGAAAUGCGUAGAGAUCGGGAAGAACACCUGAGGCGGAAGCGCGCAACUGGGCCUCAACUGACGCUGAUGUACGAAAGCUAGGGGAGCGAAUGGG